Molecule: long non-coding RNA, 843 nt
Organism: Prionailurus viverrinus (fishing cat)
Lineage: Eukaryota; Metazoa; Chordata; Mammalia; Carnivora; Felidae
Exons: 3
Source: RefSeq, a predicted model, not a curated record
UGUUUUGAUACUCUCUAUUCAAGGUCAAGGCUCUAGUUACAUGUUAAGAACUUAGCCAAUUUCUUGUUGGUAGUUAGGAGUUGUUACCGUGAACAAGGGAAGACAUGUGUCUUCAGCUACGCUCCACUCUCUACACUCUCGAGCCCCCAUGGUGGAAUGAUUAACCACAUGGAGCAUUAGGAGCAUGGAGCGAGACCAGGUGUUUUUCAGAAUGAUUCUUCCUACCUUCAGAGAGACUUGCUCUUUCCUCCCUCUGAAUCGUGUCUCCACUCCUUUAACUCUGCCUCCUCCACGCCACUCCACCACCUGGAAAAUACCUCCCCACCUUUUAAGACACAACUGGAAACUGUCACCACAUCUUCUGCCUCUGGAACAACUGCAAGCAUGGGCUGUGGCCACCCCCUCUGUGACCCUGCAAGGCUCUGUGCCCAACCUCUCCACAAGCUUUUACCACGGAUGGAUCGAUCUGUGGGGCAGCUGGGCGCCAAAGAUGACCUUGAACAAUUCUGCCUCUUCCUGCACACACCUUCCCCUGCCCCCACCAAGAAUCAGGGCCCAUUUCCUCUCUCCUUGAAUUGUGGUGAGGCCUGUGGCUGCUUUGAGGAAAUGAUCCAUUCCAGGACGGCACCUCCUGCUUCUUCCAUCUUGGAACCCUCGCUAUUGGGGUGCUCCUUGGAAUCCAGCCACCAUGCCUUGAAAAGCCCAAACUGCAUAGCAGGCCCCAUCUCUGUUCCACUCUCUGCUGCUGGCCAUGUAAGUAAGUCAUCUCAGACAUCCUGGCCGGCCUGGCCCCCAGGGGACUGAAGCCCCAGCCAACACCACGUGGAGCAGAGGAAUGACCAG